This 497-nucleotide ribosomal RNA is filed under the name uncultured bacterium. Its description in RNAcentral is "partial 16S ribosomal RNA". It matches the Rfam family "Bacterial small subunit ribosomal RNA", at positions 28 to 507 of the family's 1533-position model. The record is from RNAcentral.
GAUGAACGCUGGCGGCGUGCCUAAUACAUGCAAGUCGAGCGAACAGACGAGGAGCUUGCUCCUCUGACGUUAGCGGCGGACGGGUGAGUAACACGUGGAUAACCUACCUAUAAGACUGGGAUAACUUCGGGAAACCGGAGCUAAUACCGGAUAAUAUAUUGAACCGCAUGGUUCAAUAGUGAAAGACGGUUUUGCUGUCACUUAUAGAUGGAUCCGCGCCGCAUUAGCUAGUUGGUAAGGUAACGGCUUACCAAGGCAACGAUGCGUAGCCGACCUGAGAGGGUGAUCGGCCACACUGGAACUGAGACACGGUCCAGACUCCUACGGGAGGCAGCAGUAGGGAAUCUUCCGCAAUGGGCGACAGCCUGACGGAACAACGCCGCGUGAGUGAUGGAGGUCUUCGGAUCGUAAAACUCUGUUAUUAGGGAAAAACAAAUGUGUAAGUAACUAUGCACGUCUUGACGGUACCUAAUCAGAAAGCCACGGCUAACUACGUG